GCAAGUUUUUCUAUGUGGAGGCCAAAAGAUAGAUUGGGGUCUAACAUCAUAUCCAAGUAUUUGAAAGAGUGGACUGUGGUCAGUGUGCCAUUUGAAUUUGUUUUGAUGGAUAGGUGGGAAUUGUGUAAUUUGUGUAAUUUAGGUACUGUUCCAAAGAUCAUUGUGACAGUUUUGUCAGUGUUUAGGAAGAGUUUGUUUUUUGCGAUCCACUUUUCUACCUUUCUACCUUUGUAAACUGGUCUUGGAGCACAGCCUCAAGCUGUGGUAGAUCGGAAUUGCUCGCAUAGAUUACCGUGUCAUCUGCGUACAUGUGUACAUUUGAGGAUUUGCAGACAUUAGGCAGAUCAUUUAUAAAUAAUGUAAAUAGUAGGGGGCCGAGAAUGAAACCUUGGGGAACACCAGGGAGGGAGUCGCUGUCAGAAAUGGACACAUAUUGCAAGCGA
Molecule: non-coding RNA, 443 nt
Organism: Pelobates cultripes (western spadefoot toad)
Lineage: Eukaryota; Metazoa; Chordata; Amphibia; Anura; Pelobatidae
Source: the annotation of a GenBank genome assembly